Molecule: long non-coding RNA, 1045 nt
Filed under: Numida meleagris (helmeted guineafowl)
Lineage: Eukaryota; Metazoa; Chordata; Aves; Galliformes; Numididae
Description: lncRNA (ENSNMEG00000012484.1)
Source: RNAcentral
ACAAGAAAGGAACAGGCAACAGAAUGUAGGUGUAAAAGUGAGUUUAUUUUACAGGUUUAAUAAAUAAAAAUAUAAAUACAUAUAAAAUAAAUAAUAAAUAAAUAACAGUGGGGGAAGGAGGGGGGGGGGGGAGGUCAGCCCCUAUCACCCUCCCCCCCCACCCUGAGCAUUCAGGGCCUUCCCCGUCCGUGGGGUACUCCUCUUCAACAAGUGGGGGUCUCGGGGCUUCCCAUCAGCCUGGGGGUUCCUGGGGGGGUUCCUCCAGCAGCGGGGUCCUCGGGGGGUCCCGGAGGCUCUCCCCUCGCUGCAGCCGUUCCCAAACACGCUCCCGGUGGGCAGGCUGCAGGACGGGGUCGAGGACGGGGCGCAGCAGGGCCCGGCGGCGGGCAAAGCGCAGGCGGUCGCGGGCCAUGGUCUCCCAAGGACCUCGGCGGGCAUCAGGGUCUGGAGGGGGCUGGAGCAGGAACACCUGGACCUGAAGAUUGAACCGUACCUGGAGGGGGAGGGGGGGAGGAGGGAAAAGAAAACAGGGGGAUGAUGUCAGCCUGAUGGUGUCAUGGGUGAUGCAAGAGGCACGGGACUGCCUCAUGACUCCUCUCCUCCACCCUCCCCUUCCAUGUUGGCUCAGCUUCGUGGUGACAGGAGGGGCCGAUCCCUUCGGAGUCCCACAGUUCUGUGGGGUUCCCAUCUCAUGCCCCCCAACCCCCAAAUCCCCACCCACGUGGGGCUCACUUUCUUGGUGCCGCGGUCCUCGCUGCUCACGGGUUCUUCAGCCUUCGGGGAUUCCUCAAUUUUGGGAGGGUCCUUCCUGAAUCCGGCAACCCCUCUCUACGCAUCGGGAUCCCCCGCCAGUUCUUACCUGACGCUGGCUCCGCUCGCUCCGUGUCUGUUUCCAUUGCUCCUCUCUGUGUCAUCGCUGCCGCUCUAUUGUGCCCAGGCGGCCGCCGCCUCUCGAUAUAAGGACAGCGAUGACGUCACUCGAGGGGGGGGGGGGGGGGGGUGGAAUUCCCAGACUCAGCGCGAAACGUCAGCCCGGCAGGCGGCU